AGGAACUUAGGCUAACUACCAGACCAAGGGCCUUCAAAGCCCUAAGCGGGAGUGAAAAUCUCCCAGUCCCUG
This 72-nucleotide transfer RNA is filed under the name Siganus canaliculatus (white-spotted rabbitfish). RNAcentral describes it as "tRNA-Trp". It matches the Rfam family "tRNA". Rfam says of the family: Transfer RNA (tRNA) molecules are approximately 80 nucleotides in length. Their secondary structure includes four short double-helical elements and three loops (D, anti-codon, and T loops). Lineage: Eukaryota; Metazoa; Chordata; Actinopteri; Siganidae. The record is from RNAcentral. RNAcentral also lists the same sequence under 2 other names.